RNAcentral lists this unclassified non-coding RNA (1210 nucleotides) under Hevea brasiliensis (rubber tree). The record is from RNAcentral. Lineage: Eukaryota; Viridiplantae; Streptophyta; Magnoliopsida; Malpighiales; Euphorbiaceae.
UGCAAAACUCUUCCUAACCAAGUAACCUUUAACUUGAAAUCAAAGCUACAAAUUGACAAAGGCUCACAAACUGACUGUAGCAUAACCAGCAUGCCACUGUGAUUCCUGAACUACAAAGGCAUCCCGUGGUCAAUCAUGAAUGCCCCAAAGUUUCGACUUAACCUCACUGAGAAACCUUAUAUCCUAGAUCAUGAAUUCGUAAAUACACUAAAAGGAAUAAAAAAAAAAAAAAAAGUUUCCACAACAUUUGCACAUUUGGCGCCCCCUUUAGCCCCUGUAAAGCAAGUAAAUGCAAGAUUUGUUUGUUGCACAAUAAUCCAGCACUCCUGCAAGUGCUAUUAAUUUGAGAAAAAUCAGACCGGCCCUCCCCAUGCAUAUAAUGAUUAAAAAGUCUUUCUGUCCCUUCAUAUACCCACAACAUUAAAACGAGCAUCCCAAUCCAUGAACCAAUGAUCUUCUCAAAUUGAUGGCUACUGCUCAUUAAUAUGGUCUGUAACGCAUUGGUCGCCUGAACCUUGGAACCCUUCCAUAACCAUAAGGGGGAUAGAAGGGGGGAGCAGGCAUGAAUGGCCUUCGGGAUCUGAACCCAUAAGGGUUGGGGCGCCUUCCUCGAUAUUGCUUCAUUCCAGGAAUGUUGGUUCUCUUAGCAGAGACCUUUAACUGACGGCCAUGCAGUUCGGAUUCAUUUAACAAAAGAGCAUUUUGAACGGCAUCAAUUUCAACAAAUUCAACAUAAGCAAAUCCUUUUGGCUGACCAAACUUGUCAGUCAAGAUUGUCACUCUGUUACACUCUGUUCACUGUUCCACAGGAUUGAAAAUGCUGCUGCACUUCUUCAGGAGUACAGGUAUAGUCUACCUCUUCCUUUUCAGCUUGACUUGCAGAACCACUUGAGGCAUCUUGGACAGCUCCCAUCUCCUUCUCAACCUUGGCCUGCAUUUCACGGAGAGCGCCAGCUUCUUCUUCGAUCUCCUUCAGUCUCUUCUUCAUGUCCUCCAAAUCCUUGGAGUUAGGACCAUGGUCCUCUUCUUCUUCAGGCCUCGAAGACAUGUCGAUAUCGGCGUCCAUCUCUCCCUCGUCAGGCAUUUCAGUCCCGUACACCUCAUGCUCUUGCUCUUCAUGCUGAUCCAUCCCUCUACGUCUACCGCGGGAAAUUAGGUUCUUGGGGCUAACUGCUAGGGUUUGGGGUUUCAAUUUGGGGUAAAAAAAAAA